RNAcentral lists this ribosomal RNA (206 nucleotides) under uncultured bacterium. RNAcentral's name for it is "partial 16S ribosomal RNA". It matches the Rfam family "Bacterial small subunit ribosomal RNA", at positions 568 to 774 of the family's 1533-position model. The record is from RNAcentral.
CACGCAGGCGGUUUGUUAAGUCAGAUGUGAAAUCCCCGGGCUCAACCUGGGAACUGCAUCUGAUACUGGCAAGCUUGAGUCUCGUAGAGGGGGGUAGAAUUCCAGGUGUAGCGGUGAAAUGCGUAGAGAUCUGGAGGAAUACCGGUGGCGAAGGCGGCCCCUCGGACGAAGACUGACGCUCAGGUGCGAAAGCGUGGGAGCAAACA